This is a long non-coding RNA of Rosa chinensis, 1422 nucleotides long. RefSeq lists it as uncharacterized. NCBI's taxonomy places the organism in Eukaryota, Viridiplantae, Streptophyta, Magnoliopsida, Rosales, Rosaceae. The transcript has 10 exons. The record is from RefSeq and is a predicted model, not a curated record.
ACCACCUCCCUAUCACUCUUCUCUUCCUCACUUAACCACCACUCCCUUCCCAAACCUCAACUAUCGGUCACACCCUCCUCUCAUAGAUCCAUGCCCAAGUGCGACCUCCACUGCGCUGCCACCAAGCCCAAGGAGGCCAAACUCCGGGGCGGCCGCUUCGAGGAGGGCAUCACCGACGCCAUCGAGCGCUUCACCAAGUCCAUCUCCUUCCACAAAGCCCUCUACAAGCAUGACAUCAUGGGCAGCAAGGCCCACGCCUCAAUGCUCCCCAAACAGGGAUUCAUCACUAUCGAUCUGAUAGUGAUGAAUUGAGUUGGAUGGAAUUGAGAGCUCGCACAACUGAGUUGGAAUUGGAAAAGUCUUCACCCUUAAAAAUAAAAAAAAGAAGCCACACACUCUCUCUUCUCUCGCUAAACGACUCCUCCUUAGAUCUAGAUCUAGCAAUCUUUAUUCAUCUUCUCGGCCUUCUCCGUGCUCUCGGAUGAUUUUUAAGUUUCUCGAUCUCGAUUUACUAUCCUCUCCGACUGGAUGUGAGAGAAAUCUGAAAGCCAUCUGACAAUACAAACAAUUGAUGUUCUCUCUCCCAUCGGUGAAGCACCAUGGUAGAUCCAUUAUCAUGUUGGGCUCUUCAGUUUUGGAAGGCUGGGGAGUUUGAGGUAGUGCCUUGUGGCGAUGCAGAUUCUUCUGCUGGUGAUGUUUUGCAGCUUUUGCGGAGCUAUUAGACAAUGCAAUAGAUGAGGUUUGCACUGGUGCUACUUAUGUUAAGGUAGAUGUGCUUGAAAAUCAGAAAGACUGAAGCAGAAUGUUGCUGAUUGAAGAUAAUGGUGGUGGGAUGAAUCCAGAUAAGAUACGAGACUGCAUGUCAUUGGGUUUUCUACAAAGAGCAAAAUCGCAAACACAAUUGGACAAUAUGGAAAUGGUUUUAAAACAAGUACCAUGAGGCUUGGGGCAGACGUGAUUGUGUUCACUCGUUGUUGUGGAAAAGAUGGAAAAAGUGCUACGCAGAGCAUUGGAUUGCUGUCUUACACAUUUUUGAAGAGCACAGGAAAGGAAGAUUUUGUUGUUCCCAUGGUCCACUGCAAACAAGCUUCUGGAAUGGUUUUGUCAUUGUAUAGCAAAGAGAAACUUUGCUACAGCGCUAGCGUUCACUUACUAAGAAAUCAUAUAUUGAGUCUGCCAAAGCAUCGAGACAGCAGCUCAAAGAAGCCAAAAAAAAAGCUGGAGUUUCCUAGGCAUAAGCUGGCAUACAGUUACUUUGGUGCUGCAAUUCUUUAUCCUCCUGAACUAGUACAUAGGUGAUGCAAUCUUUAUGUAUGAAGAAAUUUUAAUCAAUGUACGUGCCACAAAUUGUAAUUGUUGAUACAAGGUUUUGAUUGUUGGUUGGUUUAAUUAUAAUGGAUUUGAUAUUGUAGUUUAACUUCA